CAAUUUUACCUAUUCUGCUGUAUUGUUGUUCUUGAGUUAGGUCUCACAGAUUCAUUCAAUAAGAAUUUACUGAUGAAAUGGAAAGGAGGCAUUUCUAGUUAAUUUCUGAAUUUCUUGUUCCUGAUGCUUUAAUUCUAUAUCUUGUUUCUCUUUUAAUCUUUAUAUGGUAAUUUUUUUGAUUUGUUUGGUUUUCUUCUCAGGGGUAUGUUUUAAAAUCAGAAAAUAUGAAGAAGUUUUUUGACUAUAUACAACUUCCAAAUUUCAAUGUUGCUGCCAAUGCUAUAGAAACCUUUAAGGUAGUGUUUUCUGCUAGUAAACAUUUACUACCUACUUAAUAAAUAAGCGUGCCUACAAUAUUAACUACACAACAAAAGAGCCAUUCUUUAGAUUUACAUGUGUAAUACUUAGUAGGCACAAAAUAUAGAAUAUUAUCAAACUAUGAAAGUCUUCAAAAGCCAUGUAUCUGUCUGUUUGUUUAUAUGUGCAUCAAAAUUUUGCCUUUUUUCUUUUUCCAUUUUUUUGGUGGUGGUAUUGCCAUAUUGUUGUUAUUGUCGUGAGUGUUGGUGUCUGUUUAUGCACAUAUCAUAUUGUUCUUUGGUUACAACAUGCCUACAAACUCUUUAAUGGUGUGUAUGUCUGAUUUUUUUGAAGAAAGUGAUAUGUGGUUAGGACUAAAAAACACUUUUAAGUGAAUGGAAAUGAAAAUGCAUAUUAAUUCUUGGUUUUUUACAUAGACUAGGAUUAUUUCAGACUUUUGUUAAAUAUAGUAAACAACAAAUUGUCUUUUAAGUCCUUUUAAUUUCUUUUCUGGUUUUGUAGCUCCAAUUCCCUGGAUGCUUGCCUCUAUCUUUUCUUGUGCUAAUGUCUUGUCUAUAGUUUUUUUUGCUAAAUUCUGCAAUUCAGUUUUGUCUCUUUCUCUUUUAUUUAUUUUUUUCUUUCGUAAUCAGCAUUUGUGAGCUUAUAUAUAUCUACACAGAUGAUGCAUGCAGGGGCCAUGGUUUCAGCAAAUCAAGUUUGAGGUCCAGCAUUUAGGUGCAAUAUUACUUUGAAGGGAUUAAGUAUGAAUUAACUUUGUUACUAGUUUUGUGCACUUGGAGCUCUUUUAAAUAUGGCCUAUUGAUGUGUAGAAGCCAUUUCUUGAAGAAGUGACUGUUGUUUGGCAUGCCAUGUAUCUUAUUAUAAUGAGCUCUUGCUUCCAUACUGCAUCAAUACUAACCCAAAUUUAGUGGCACUAGGAGAUGGGCGCUCAAGGAUACUUUAUUUUGGAUGGUUCCAGCUAUCAAAAUUGAAACAAUUUCUUUUAUGGUGUACUUAUUCCCUGUUAUUUCGUAUAUGUUAAAGUGGAGUCAUUUUCUGAAACUACUAUUGCACCAUGUAAAUCUAUUUUGCUUGUUGUCAUCAAAUUUAUGGAUUUCAGCCAUUGAGAUUUUCACUUAUCAACUGAGUUAAUGUUGGGGACAGUUGGUAGUCACUGUUUUUCUAGGCCUUCCAUGAUUUUAGUUGAUGUUUCACUAUCUUGAACAUGAAAGAAAUAUUGUCACAAGAGCACUAAUAAGUUCUUUUAUUUCAUGGUUGGACUUUAGGAUCGGUUUGACCCGAUAGCAGAUUCAAACACAAUCCGUAAUGAUCUUAUUCUCACAUGGUUUAUGGGAGAAACGUGGGGGAUCAAGAGUUUGAAGGGAUGUAUUGUGCAAUAUUAUCAGUCAAGUAUACUAUUUCUAAAGGCUUGAGUUUCAGGUAUAUGAAAGUUUGAGUGGGCUCUAAUAGAGGGAACAUGGUAAGAGUAGAAGAAGGUUCAAAUAAUUUCAGCACCUAGAUUAUUUGCGUACAGUAUGAGGGGCCAUGCGAUUCAGAAGACAAUCACAUCACCCAUCAAACAAAAGAAUAUAUCACAUGGAAGAUAGCAGAAUCAUUGGCUUCAUGUCCAAAAAAAGAUUGAUCGUAUUGCUCGUAUUGCAUUUGAGACUAUUCGGAAGCGGGGUACGAAACUCUGUUCUGUUGAUAAAGCAAAUGAUUAUAGGUAUUCAAAAUGUAUUAUGUAGAAAUGAAUCCAAUUUAACCGUCUUAAAGAAGUUUCUCAUCAUUAAAAAGAAUAUAUAUAUAUAUAUAUAUAUAAAGAAAUAUCAAUGUAGAGAGGGGCAAUAGUGUACAAGAAACUAUGACAGGGAACCUGCAGGUAGAUGCUGCUAGUAUCAAACUGUGCAUAGAAUGCCCUUGAUUUGAGUCUAAAUUUCUGCCCUUUGUUCUUCUUGAUGAGAUAUUUGAGGAAAAUGAUAGGAAAAAUAGAUUUUGAAUGCUACAUUCUUUUCACACAAAAAAAGAAAAAAAGAAAAAAUAAAUAAAAAGAUGAAGAUUAUUUGGCUGAAUGGUUGUAAUAGGUUCAGUUGAGUAGAGGUUAUACUUGUAUUGUUGUCCUUGU
Non-coding RNA from Camellia sinensis, 2419 nucleotides. NCBI's taxonomy places the organism in Eukaryota, Viridiplantae, Streptophyta, Magnoliopsida, Ericales, Theaceae. The record is from RefSeq and is a predicted model, not a curated record.